GUGCCAGCAGCCGCGGUAAUACAGAGGGUGCGAGCGUUAAUCGGAAUUACUGGGCGUAAAGCGCGCGUAGGUGGCUUUGUAAGUCGGAUGUGAAAUCCCCGGGCUCAACUUGGGAACUGCAUUCGAAACUGCAUUGCUAGAGUAUGGAAGAGGGAAGUGGAAUUUCCGGUGUAGCGGUGAAAUGCGUAGAUAUCGGAAGGAACACCAGUGGCGAAAGCGACUUCCUGGUCCAAUACUGACACUCAAGUGCGAAAGCGUGGGGAGCAAACAGGAUUAGAUACCCCCGUAGUCC
RNAcentral lists this ribosomal RNA (292 nucleotides) under uncultured bacterium. RNAcentral's name for it is "partial 16S ribosomal RNA". It matches the Rfam family "Bacterial small subunit ribosomal RNA", at positions 505 to 796 of the family's 1533-position model. The record is from RNAcentral.